Non-coding RNA from Peromyscus maniculatus bairdii (prairie deer mouse), 1582 nucleotides. The record is from RefSeq and is a predicted model, not a curated record. Lineage: Eukaryota; Metazoa; Chordata; Mammalia; Rodentia; Cricetidae.
CCUGAGUUGUUUCCCACCUCCAGCCUCGGUGUGAGGUGCUUCGCUCUCACACCGCAUUGCCUCUAAAUGAAGCCAUGAAAGCUUUGAAGGAACUUUGCUCUUCAAAUUUAUUCCAUGAGUGUGACUUCCCAGAAGAAGGCCCCAAAGUUUGAGAAGUAUUGAUGGUGUUGGGCAGAUCGUGGGCAUUUUAAGUGACUUCAGAUAGGGGACCAGCAGAUGGCAAUUUUCCUGGGACUUCAUCAGCGUUAAGUUUGCUUUCUGAAAUCAGCUGACGGUGUGGAGGAAGAAAGCCGGGCAUUAUUUAGCGCUAUUGAUUGCCUGUCCUUGUGUUCACUGUUUCUAUUUCCUGUGCAGAGAAUCCUCUGUCAUACCUUUGCUCAUUUAGUAAUUUGGCCUUGGGGGGUUCUUAAGCAAUUUUUUGAUUUUUUUUUUUCUGGAUGAAACAUUUUCAGCCUUGGUCCAAGGAGAGGUGUAAGGGAGUCUAAUAGUCCUAGAAGAUGUGUGUGCCAUAAAUGCAUGUGUCUACGUCUGUGUGUGUUUAUCUGUGUCAGUGUGAGUGUGUAUGUAUGUGUAUGUAUGUGUGUGUGUGCGCAUGUGUGUGCACAUGUGUGUGUGUAUCUGUGCAGGUAUACAUGCCCAUAUGUAAUUGUGAAGGGUUUCUUAACUUUCCUCAGAUUCUCAAAAAGUUUAAAUUUUUAAAAAAUUGUUACUUUUUUUAAAGAAAGGUUUAAAUUUUUAAAAAAGGUGUGGCAGUGCACACUGCAAUCCCAGCACUCAAGAGGUGGAGGUAAGAGGAUUGUGGGUUUGAUGUCAGCCUGGACACACAGCAACACUCUUUCUAAACCAACCCACCCAAUCACCCACCCCAUGAAAAUGAGAAUGAAAGAGAAAGGAGAAAAAACGCUGUAGAAGGAAGAAGAUGGCAUGAUACCCACGCAGAGGAUUAGAGACGAUCUGAAGAAUAAACCAGGCGCAGCCGGAGGACGGCCAUCUUAACCGUUGGAGGAUGGUGGAGAUGCCAGUAAAAACCAACUCAAAAUAGUCCAAAGGUCUGGAACUCUGAAGUCAUUAAAGGAAAACUGAAGGAAGACACUUCAGAAAUUCGAGUCCAGAAAGCCACCAUCUUGGGCCAUUGCUCCAUUCUGCAGAUGAAGAAACCGAAGACCAGAGAGGCUAGGUGACUCGUCUGAGGAUGCACAGCAAGCGGCCCAGUGGCAGAGUUAACCUCCACUUGUCCCAUUUCUCUGCCCCUCCCAUCCCAUUCCCAGCCCUCUUUGCAAGGUCUAAUCCAGAAGCCUGCUCUGAGCUCUGCACCUGAACGAAACGGCCCCCACCCCGGCUUGCUCCUCGCUGAGAGUCCAGUGGCCGAGCCAGAUGCGGCAGCCAUUGCUCAAGGCGGCGAGCAGGGAGGGCCGCGGCUCCUGCGAGGCUUAUUGCACCAUCACUCACUUCCUGUCAGGCCUUAUUGCACCAACAUCUCCUAAAUGACAGAGUUGGAUUCAUUAACUGUAAAUUCAAUCAAACUUGAAAGAGAGAGAAAAUAAAAGUGACUUGGAACAAGAGGAAUGGAGGGUGCUAGCGA